RNAcentral lists this ribosomal RNA (497 nucleotides) under uncultured bacterium. RNAcentral's name for it is "partial 16S ribosomal RNA". It matches the Rfam family "Bacterial small subunit ribosomal RNA", at positions 28 to 507 of the family's 1533-position model. The record is from RNAcentral.
GAUGAACGCUGGCGGCGUGCCUAAUACAUGCAAGUCGAGCGAACGGACGAGAAGCUUGCUUUUCUGAUGUUAGCGGCGGACGGGUGAGUAACACGUGGAUAACCUACCUAUAAGACUGGGAUAAAUUCGGGAAACCGGAGCUAAUACCGGAUAAUAUUUUGAACCGCAUGGUUCAAAAGUGAAAGACGGUCUUGCUGUCACUUAUAGAUGGAUCCGCGCUGCAUUAGCUAGUUGGUAAGGUAACGGCUUACCAAGGCAACGAUGCAUAGCCGACCUGAGAGGGUGAUCGGCCACCCUGGAACUGAGACACGGUCCAGACUCCUACGGGAGGCAGCCGUAGGGAAUCUUCCGCAAUGGGCGAAAGCCUGACGGAGCAACGCCGCGUGAGUGAUGAAGGUCUUCGGAUCGUAAAACUCUGUUAUUAGGGAAGAACAUAUGUGUAAGUAACUGUGCACAUCUUGACGGUACCUAAUCAGAAAGCCACGGCUAACUACGUG